Molecule: long non-coding RNA, 1334 nt
Filed under: Helianthus annuus (common sunflower)
Lineage: Eukaryota; Viridiplantae; Streptophyta; Magnoliopsida; Asterales; Asteraceae
Description: hypothetical non coding rna
Source: RNAcentral
GUGGGUGUGUGUGACCGUGAGAACAAGACCAAGGGGGAAACCCUAUUUCUUCAAAAUCUUGCAAAUCAAAGGAGAAAAGGGCUAAAUUUUGAAUGCAUGAACUAAGAAUGAUGAUCAUCUAAGCAUACCCAACAUCAAUAUGAAUGUAUGUUGGAACGUGUCAAGGAGAGGUCAAGCAUAGGAGGAUAACGGGUCAAGAUAAGGCAAGGUGACAAAUACACUUAUUGGAGUACUCGAGGUAAGUGAAUUUCGAUUCACUUUUUAGUAGGUUUAAUAGAUUUUAAUACUUAUGUUUACAAAACAUCAUGAAAGAACAUGUGAUAAUCAGAAGUACAAAGCCAAUAAUGCCUCAUUAUUGAAGAAGGUUGAAUUUAAGCCGAAAGUAAAUUGGUGGGUUUAAACGGGUCGAAUUUUAUGUGCAUAUGUUGCGUAAUGUAAUGAAAUUCGUUAUGGUUAAGACCUUGGGUAAGAAUUUUAGUCAUUAUGUAAGGGGAACAUUUCCCGGACCAUUAGGAACAAGUUUUAUAUGAUUCGGUUGUCGGUUAGUGAAUGAACGGAUUGUUUCGUGUUAGUGUAGGAAAUUUUAUAAGUAUAUGUGUAUGGGAAUCCAAAGGCCACGUGGGUUGAAUCGUAGAUUGUCUAUACUAUGUAAAGUUGUAAAUGUGACAUUCCGGCAUAAACCUACAUGUAAAAGAAGCUUGUGUAUAUAUUCGUGAUUAAUUGAUUGUGCGUAGGAAGGAACAUUGGCAUGUAUGAAGGUACGCAUAUAUAUAUAUAAGUGUAUAUAUAUAUAUGUAUGUAUGUAUGAUAAUAAGUAUGUAGGUGUGAAUGUAUGUGUGAAUGAAUGUUCAAUGCUUAAGACAUAUGCAUGAACGUAUCAAAGUGUUCGAGUAUUUAUGGAUACUAAUGAUGUGCGUUGAGUUGGAAUGUAAUGUAGGUAUGGGAUCGUUGGCUUCAUGAAGAAAUGGAGCUGGAUUCGGAUAAGAGUAUUUAAGAAAGCGCUUGGACAAUUCCACGACUACUUUAUAGAAUGCUCUACGAAAUUUUAUUAUAUAGUUUAAUGUUGAAUGGUAUGUUAAUGACUAAUGGUUUGGUUUACGUGGUGUCCACAGGUAUCGCUUGGGUUUUCUCUACAUUUAUUGAAGUGAAGCGGACUUAGUUCGAGUUGAGAGCAAGGAUUGUACGGGGUAGAAUGGUCACAUAGUGUAACUCAUAUAGGUUUUGAAGUAUUAAUGUUAUAAAACGUUAUAAAUCCGUUUUAAUGAAUAUAUGGCAUUUCGCACUUGAACCUUCAUGUGUUUGAUAUGUCUAUUAAAGAACGAAAUUUUUGAGCU